This 906-nucleotide ribosomal RNA is filed under the name Paenarthrobacter aurescens. Its description in RNAcentral is "bacterial SSU rRNA". It matches the Rfam family "Bacterial small subunit ribosomal RNA", at positions 1 to 920 of the family's 1533-position model. The record is from RNAcentral. Lineage: Bacteria; Bacillati; Actinomycetota; Actinomycetes; Micrococcales; Micrococcaceae.
GAUUAGAGUUUGAUCCUGGCUCAGGAUGAACGCUGGCGGCGUGCUUAACACAUGCAAGUCGAACGAUGAUCCCAGCUUGCUGGGGGAUUAGUGGCGAACGGGUUGAGUAACACGUGAGUAACCUGCCCUUGACUCUGGGAUAAGCCUGGGAAACUGGGUCUAAUACCGGAUACGACCAUCUGGCGCAUGUCAUGGUGGUGGAAAGCUUUUGUGGUUUUGGAUGGACUCGCGGCCUAUCAGCUUGUUGGUGGGGUAAUGGCCUACCAAGGCGACGACGGGUAGCCGGCCUGAGAGGGUGACCGGCCACACUGGGACUGAGACACGGCCCAGACUCCUACGGGAGGCAGCAGUGGGGAAUAUUGCACAAUGGGCGCAAGCCUGAUGCAGCGACGCCGCGUGAGGGAUGACGGCCUUCGGGUUGUAAACCUCUUUCAGUAGGGAAGAAGCGAAAGUGACGGUACCUGCAGAAGAAGCGCCGGCUAACUACGUGCCAGCAGCCGCGGUAAUACGUAGGGCGCAAGCGUUAUCCGGAAUUAUUGGGCGUAAAGAGCUCGUAGGCGGUUUGUCGCGUCUGCUGUGAAAGACCGGGGCUCAACUCCGGUUCUGCAGUGGGUACGGGCAGACUAGAGUGCAGUAGGGGAGACUGGAAUUCCUGGUGUAGCGGUGAAAUGCGCAGAUAUCAGGAGGAACACCGAUGGCGAAGGCAGGUCUCUGGGCUGUAACUGACGCUGAGGAGCGAAAGCAUGGGGAGCGAACAGGAUUAGAUACCCUGGUAGUCCAUGCCGUAAAACGUUGGGCACUAGGUGUGGGGGACAUUCCACGUUUUCCGCGCCGUAGCUAACGCAUUAAGUGCCCCGCCUGGGGAGUACGGCCGCAAGGCUAAAACUCAAAGGAAUUGACGGAAUC